UACCGGUUAAGCACGCAGCAGCCGUGCGGCGUCGUCGGUUACGUCAUCACGCUGGCUUGUUGUCUAGCGUUAGCGGUAGUCUUUAAAAGCAUGGAGCCGACACGGCCAGGCGAGUAAGCUCUGCCUGUUCCACGCAGUUCUGCAUCAGCAUUGGUUCUGCUGCUAUUGCUUGUCCGUUGAGGCAGCGUUCGGCAUUCCCACGGUUCCCUUUGGAGAGUGUUUCACUUGGUGACCUGCGUUCCUGCAGUAGCCCUCGGUUUCAUCUGUGCUCCGCAUCUACGCGCUUACUACUUGCAUCCUUUGCAGUGGUUUAUCCAGUCUUCUUCCUCCCUCCGCGUUCUGGUACGUCUCUGCCCGGCAACGCAUUUAUUCAGCAUUAUGUCUCUACAUUUCUCCGUGGCUAACGCUUCCUCCCUUCACGUAGGGUCCACAUUCGCGACAUUUGCCUCCGAGAUCAGCUGGGUAUUCGGCCUCGGUGCAUGUAAAUAUCAGGCUUUGGGCCGCCGGGUACUGUCAUUCCCCCUCCACUGGGCCUACAAUGAGCAGCGCCUCUGCAUCGUCGGGCUCUGCUCUGGCUGCUGUUCUGCUUUUAUUGAAUUUCUUUCAUUUAUAGGAUAUUCUCACGCUGUUGCUUGUCUCGUAUCACGGCGGCACCGCACUGAGAGGGGCCGCGCACCGCAAUAGCAUACGGCAGCGUGUGUGGGCCCACUGCAGCCAGUGUGUGCUGGAAUGUGUGUGUGUUGGUGUGUGUGUCGGUGUGUGUGCGUCCUUGCGAGUUUUGUGUGGGGGGCGCGUGUGCGUGAGUGUGUGUGGGGUGGUAAGUGGGUAUUACCCACUCACUAUUGAGUAUAUUGUUUUGUGUUCUGGUUUAUUUUAUUUUAUUGUUUUGUGUUUUGAUUUAUUCUGUUAAUUUAUCGUUUGUGAUUUCUGUACAUAUCCCGUGGGCAUUGGUCAAGUUCACAGGGCCUGUGUGGGCCUCACAUUUUGUCCCUCACGACUUGUUGUGUUGGUUAAGGCGCUUUGCUGUGCCCCUCGGGGGUGCGAUAUUUGCUGUGUGUAUAGCUUGCUGUGCGUGUGUGCUAUCACUGUGGUUUGUGAGUUACCUUACUACUAGCCCUGUGGGCUCAGCCAUUGCCUGUGGUCACUGUACCGUGUUAAUUGUAUUUUCUUUUCUUUUCUUUGGCAGGACCAGGGACGACCAGCAGGGGGGCCAAGCCGUUGGUGUUCCUACUAAAGCAGGGACAUCGAUCUUCAAAAAACUCCUGAAGACCCAGCUCUUCAGAGAACAUCUCUCAUAGCACUACUUACAACUAGCUUUGCUAAUUCUAGCACUUACCACCUGACUAGAAUUGACACUUGACUUGACACCUCACACACACAUAUACUUAGGGUCUCAGUUGGGGCAACUGUGGUAAAACUGUGUGUGUGUGUGUGUGUCUAUAUGCGUGUGAGUGUGUGUGUGUUACUGAGUGCCUCUGGUAGGGAGGGACUUGUGGGGAAAAAGAAACUUAGUCUCCAUGUGAAAACACACACACACACACACACACGCACAGGUUUCAU
Long non-coding RNA from Alosa sapidissima (American shad), 1560 nucleotides. RefSeq lists it as uncharacterized. Lineage: Eukaryota; Metazoa; Chordata; Actinopteri; Clupeiformes; Clupeidae. The record is from RefSeq and is a predicted model, not a curated record. The transcript has 4 exons.